This 506-nucleotide ribosomal RNA is filed under the name uncultured bacterium. Its description in RNAcentral is "bacterial SSU rRNA". It matches the Rfam family "Bacterial small subunit ribosomal RNA", at positions 791 to 1297 of the family's 1533-position model. The record is from RNAcentral.
UAGUCCACGCCGUAAACGAUGAAUACUAGGUGUCGGGGGAGACUUCGGUGCCGCAGCUAACGCAUUAAGUAUUCCGCCUGGGGAGUACGCACGCAAGUGUGAAACUCAAAAGAAUUGACGGGACCCGCACAAGCAGCGGAGCAUGUGGUUUAAUUCGAAGCAACGCGAAGAACCUUACCAGGUCUUGACAUCCCUAUGCCAUUAUUUAACCGAUAAGUUCCCUUCGGGGACGUAGGUGACAGGUGGUGCAUGGUUGUCGUCAGCUCGUGUCGUGAGAUGUUGGGUUAAGUCCCGCAACGAGCGCAACCCUUAUUUUUAGUUGCCAUCAGGUUAAGCUGGGCACUCUAAAGAGACUGCCGGUGACAAACCGGAGGAAGGUGGGGAUGACGUCAAAUCAUCAUGCCCCUUAUGAUCUGGGGCUACACACGUGCUACAAUGGGCUGGGUACAAAGGGGCAGCGAAGGAGUGAUCUGGAGCGAAUCUCAUAAAGCCAGCCCCAGUUCGGG